This 400-nucleotide ribosomal RNA is filed under the name uncultured bacterium. RNAcentral's name for it is "bacterial SSU rRNA". It matches the Rfam family "Bacterial small subunit ribosomal RNA", at positions 362 to 776 of the family's 1533-position model. The record is from RNAcentral.
UAUUGGGCAAUGGGCGCAAGCCUGACCCAGCAAUGCCGCGUGAAGGAAUAAGGCCCUCGGGUUGUAAGCUUCUUUUAUCAGGGACGAAGGAUGUGACGGUACCUGAUGCAUAAGCUCCGGCUAACUACGUGCCAGCAGCCGCGGUAAUCCGUAGGGAGCAAGCGUUAUCCGGAUUUACUGGGUGUAAAGGGCGCGUAGGCGGGAUGGCAAGUCAGAUGGGAAAUCCAGGGGCUCAACCCCUGAACUGCAUUUGAAACUGUCGUUCUUGAGUACUGGAGAGGUUGACGGAAUUCCUAGUGUAGCGGUGAAAUGCGUAGAUAUUAGGAGGAACACCAGUGGCGAAGGCGGUCAACUGGACAGCAACUGACGCUGAGGCGCGAAAGCGUGGGGAGCAAACAGG